UUUUACCUCGGGACGCAGCAGUGAGGAAUAUUGGUCAAUGGGAGAGAUCCUGAACCAGCCAAGCCGCGUGAGGGAAGACGGCCCUAUGGGUUGUAAACCUCUUUUGUCGGAGAACAAAACCCGGGACGUGUCCCGGACUGCGUGUAUCCGAAGAAAAAGCAUCGGCUAACUCCGUGCCAGCAGCCGCGGUAAUACGGAGGAUGCGAGCGUUAUCCGGAUUUAUUGGGUUUAAAGGGUGCGUAGGCGGUCCGUUAAGUCAGCGGUAAAAUUGCGGGGCUCAACCCUGUCGAGCCGUUGAGACUGGC
Molecule: ribosomal RNA, 305 nt
Filed under: uncultured bacterium
Lineage: Bacteria
Description: bacterial SSU rRNA
Rfam family: Bacterial small subunit ribosomal RNA
Source: RNAcentral